Molecule: long non-coding RNA, 2202 nt
Organism: Triticum urartu
Lineage: Eukaryota; Viridiplantae; Streptophyta; Magnoliopsida; Poales; Poaceae
Source: RefSeq, a predicted model, not a curated record
UCACAUCAAUAUCGCCUCCACCAGACACGCCUCCUCCUCCUCUCGCUCCACGCCUUCCAUGUCAUCGCCAUCGCCGCUCCUUCUCUUCUUCCUUGCCCCCUCCCUCCCCUCCUUCACAAGUUGUGUGCCAGACGAUCCCCUCGAGGAUGGAUGCGGGUCAGGGAGAAUCCGGGAAAGUGGGCGGGGGCGGGUCGACCUAGGCUCGAUAUUGAGCCCUCUCAUGGUCGCGCCCACGCCACCUGCGUUCCUUACCUCCCGCGGCACAGAUGCUGCUUCUGGGGCUCCGCUAGUACAUGACUACGUCCGGCCCACAACUAGUGGAAGGCCCUGCUUGGCCUCUUCCCUGGAGCAAGACUAAAUCCUAUCUUUCGCGUUGGAUCCCCACUAAGUGACUUAUCUUCUCCUUGCUUGUUCAAUUUCUUUUCUCAUUGCUCUUUAGUUGAUCAAUACGAACAGGGUACCCCAUGCCCACUAUAUACUCAUCAUCACCGCUCCGAUCCGCCCGACCCCAACUACUCAGCUACUUCCUACCACCACCUGGUACUCCUAUUUUCUUGAUGCUCAUGCGCUGCUUGUUGUCCUCACCUCUGCUGAUGUAUUUAAUUUCAGGCAUUAUUGUUCAUUGGGUGUCUAGAAGUAGGGCUGGACACGAGCCGAGCCGAGCCGAGUUUGAUCCGAGCUAGGCUUUGGCUCGCCCAUGAGCGAGCUGGCUCGGCUCGGCUCGGUUGGUGAACGAGCCUACUUUUAGUGGCUCGGCUCGUCUUGCCUCCUGCUCGGUCCAGCCCGAGCGGCUCGUGUGAGUGAGUGCCGAUGUGUAUGUUCAGUCUUCAAUAUGCAUGGGAGCGGCCGGUGUGUGCGUGCGCGCCGCCGGUGAAGUGUGGGCGCGUGUGUGUGCUCGCAAAGUCUCCUCCGCGUGGCCGGCUGCUGGGGUCAUCGUUGGGAGAGGAGGGCAUGGACUGGAGGCCAUACCUGCUUUUGCCGGCGAGGAAUCACGACAACGACGAACGACGGCGUCCGGCGCAGCGGCGAACAGGCACGUACGCCGUCGGUGUCGACGGCGAGCCAUAGAGCUUCAUGCGCGGCGAGGAGCACGACGUAGGGUGGUGGCCACUGGCUGGACGGCGGCGGGGCGGCAAGGCGCAAACCCUAAGCAGCGGCGGCUGCAUUCGCUCGCUGGGGGACGCACAUGUGAGUCGGGGUGCUUUUAAUGGGCUUGGGCUGCUCCUGUAGGCUGCUAUGUCUAGGCAAUGGGCUGAGAAUUAUCUAAAAAAAUUAAUUGAGCUGCAAAACGAGCCACCGAGUUGGACCGAGCGGAAACCGGCUCGGCUCGGUCGUCGAACGGGCCUAAAUUUGCUAGCUCGGCUCGGCCUAUUUUCUUGUCGGGCCGAGCUGAGUUGGCCCGAGCUGGAGCGAGUUUCGGGCCGAGCCGAAAAGCUCGCUUGAGCGUCCAGUCUUAUCUAGAAGACCUUUUAGAUUGUAGUAAAAUGACCUAUAUAUUGGUUUUAGAACAUAGCGAGACUAAGUCGUAAUAUAGUUGCUACUUUUAUCUUUUUGCAUCAGUUCUGAUUGGUAUAUGGAAUAUGGAUUUGCAUACACCAUUUUAUGUAGUAAUUGUAUCCUUGUGCAAUAGUUCUUUUCAUCCAAUUCCAGUAUUUGGUUAGCUUAGUUAAUGAUAUGGGAAUUCUGCAGGAAUUUUUAUAUGUCCGAUCCAUAUUCAUGAGUUGUGCAUAUGCGGUAUGGUUGGUUGUUUAUGCAUUCUUGCUCUUUAAAUCUUUGUUGGGCGAUGAUACCAUUUGGUAAAGAACAUAACUUGAACACCCAUGCUUCUUCUGAUUUUUUUACACUCCAAUCAUUUAAAGGAUUAUGGGAAGAUGCAACUGACAUAUAUGAUGCUCCAUGUCAAACGGGAUCAAAGGGGAGAUCAUUCCCUUAUUCAAUUGCAUAGGACACUUUUUUUAUACAGUCGGGAUAUAUGCAGUGCAGCAUGAGCAACUUCAAAAAAAGACACCACAUUUUUCCCUGGUAGCUUUAAUACAAAGUAGAUGAUGAUUUUUCUCAUGUAUAGAUUGGUAAUUUCUCCUUUUUUUCAUGUAUUUUUUAAAACUUUUUGCUACCUAGCAUACUAGUCUAGAAGUUACCCUAUUGCAACACACUUUUGUCUAGAACUAUGUGAUUUUGUGAUCAUUAAAGGUUCCUUUUUUA